RNAcentral lists this transfer RNA (72 nucleotides) under Microcystis aeruginosa. Its description in RNAcentral is "tRNA-Thr". It matches the Rfam family "tRNA". From Rfam's summary of the family: Transfer RNA (tRNA) molecules are approximately 80 nucleotides in length. Their secondary structure includes four short double-helical elements and three loops (D, anti-codon, and T loops). Lineage: Bacteria; Bacillati; Cyanobacteriota; Cyanophyceae; Chroococcales; Microcystaceae. RNAcentral also lists the same sequence under 268 other names. The record is from RNAcentral.
GCUGGUGUAGCUCAGUGGUAGAGCAGCUGAUUUGUAAUCAGCCGGUCGCGGGUUCAAAUCCCAUCACCAGCU